AUGGAGGGCGCCCCGAGGGCAAACACGCGGCGCCGGCGGCUGGUCGAGAGGGGAUCAGAUCGCCUGGCCUUCAUCACCGGCCAGACGCGCGACCUCCCCCCCGACCCCGACCCCUACCCAGAUUCACCGGUUGCUGAGCCCCGUCUACAACCCAAGCAUAAAAGCCACAGUAGCGAAGGUGACCUACUCCACAAAUUCAACGCAAGCAGUGCAGCUUCUGAGAUCCAGCCAGUAUAUGAGCCACCAUUGCUGCGGAGCCGUGAUGAUGAAACCCUCAACAAGAGGACUUAUGAUUAUGGAGCAGCAAGUGUGCAGCCUAAGAGGGACAUGGAAAUGAGACCCAAAUCCGUGCCUCCGAGGGACAUGGACACGAGACCCAGAUCCGCGCCCCCAAGCCAGCCUAACCAAGCAGACUACUCAUCUUGGUCUCUGGAAACUCUGAAGCAACUCGUGGAUUUCACGCCGCAGGAGAUCACCCAAGCCAUCUCAGCCACAGAGCUCAACCGCUGCUUAGCAUCCAUUCUCAUCGCCUUCAUUGUGGUUGUUUCUAACUGGGGGCUGGACGUCGGUGGCACCAUCACCAGAGUAUUGGUUUGCACGAGGCCGCUCCUGUUCCUCAUCAUAACGAACGUAACCAUCGUCAUGUCAUUGCUGAUGGAGAACAGGGACCCCAAUGCGAGGGGCAGACAGGCCGGCAUCAGCCUUGGUUCUGAUGGCUUAGGGCUGAUGCUGGAGCUCGGGAUGCUGCUACAGAAGGCGUCUGAAGCUAUGCUGAUGGACUUCAGCAUUUGCGCUGUCAUCAUGAUCUGUUUUCUUUGA
Molecule: ribosomal RNA, 819 nt
Filed under: Triticum aestivum (bread wheat)
Lineage: Eukaryota; Viridiplantae; Streptophyta; Magnoliopsida; Poales; Poaceae
Description: partial small subunit ribosomal RNA
Source: RNAcentral